Molecule: ribosomal RNA, 126 nt
Filed under: uncultured Glomus
Lineage: Eukaryota; Fungi; Glomeromycota; Glomeromycetes; Glomerales; Glomeraceae
Description: partial 5.8S ribosomal RNA
Rfam family: 5.8S ribosomal RNA
About the family: 5.8S ribosomal RNA (5.8S rRNA) is a component of the large subunit of the eukaryotic ribosome. It is transcribed by RNA polymerase I as part of the 45S precursor that also contains 18S and 28S rRNA.
Source: RNAcentral
UCACUUUCAACAACGGAUCUCUUGGCUCUCGCAUCGAUGAAGAACGUAGCGAAGUGCGAUAAGUAAUGUGAAUUGCAGAAUCCGUGAAUCAUCGAAUCUUGACUCAUAUGCACUCUCUGGUUUCAG